RNAcentral lists this ribosomal RNA (785 nucleotides) under uncultured bacterium. Its description in RNAcentral is "bacterial SSU rRNA". It matches the Rfam family "Bacterial small subunit ribosomal RNA", at positions 605 to 1391 of the family's 1533-position model. The record is from RNAcentral.
GGGCUCAACCUGGGAACUGCGUUNUGAACUGGGUGACUAGAGUGUGUCAGAGGGAGGUAGAAUNCCACGUGUAGCAGUGAAAUGCGUAGAGAUGUGGAGGAAUACCGAUGGCGAAGGCANCCUCCUGGGAUAACACUGACGUUCAUGCCCGAAAGCGUGGGUAGCAAACAGGAUUAGAUACCCUGGUAGUCCACGCCCUAAACGAUGUCGAUUAGCUGUUGGGCAGCAUGACUGCUUAGUAGCGAAGCUAACGCGUGAAAUCGACCGCCUGGGGAGUACGGUCGCAAGAUUAAAACUCAAAGGAAUUGACGGGGACCCGCACAAGCGGUGGAUGAUGUGGAUUAAUUCGAUGCAACGCGAAGAACCUUACCUGGUCUUGACAUGUACGGAACCCUCCAGAGACGGAGGGGUGCCUUCGGGAGCCGUAACACAGGUGCUGCGUGGCUGUCGUCAGCUCGUGUCGUGAGAUGUUGGGUUAAGUCCCGCAACGAGCGCAACCCUUGUCAUUAGUUGCCAUCAUUAAGUUGGGCACUCUAAUGAGACUGCCGGUGUCAAGCCGGAGGAAGGUGGGGAUGACGUCAAGUCCUCAUGGCCCUUAUGACCAGGGCUUCACACGUCAUACAAUGGUCGGUACAGAGGGUAGCCAAGCCGCGAGGCGGAGCCAAUCUCACAAAACCGAUCGUAGUCCGGAUUGCACUCUGCAACUCGAGUGCAUGAAGUCGGAAUCGCUAGUAAUCGCAGGUCAGCAUACUGCGGUGAAUACGUUCCCGGGUCUUGUACACACC